Molecule: ribosomal RNA, 364 nt
Filed under: Pomacea bridgesi
Lineage: Eukaryota; Metazoa; Mollusca; Gastropoda; Architaenioglossa; Ampullariidae
Description: partial 12S ribosomal RNA
Source: RNAcentral
AAUGAAAAUUACCUGAGGACUACGAACGAUAUCUCUAUUGCGGUUAGUUUAAAACUCAAAAAGCUUGGCGGUGCCUUAAACUUUUCAGGGGAACCUGUCUCUUAAUCGAUAGUCCACGAUAUACCUAAUUUUUUUUACUAGUAUGUAUACCGUCGUCAACAGGUGACUUUUAAGAAAACAAAAGUCAGCAGGAAAAAAGCUUGCUUUUUAUGUCAGAUCAAGGUGCAGCUUAUAAAAAAAUGAGGAUGGGUUACAAUUAAUACAUUUUUAAUUACGGAAAUAUGGAUGAAAUUCAUUAUUGAAGGAGGACUUGAAAGUAAAAAUAGAGUUAUAUAAAUAUUUUGAAUGCAGCUCUGAGGCGUGC